This 405-nucleotide ribosomal RNA is filed under the name uncultured bacterium. RNAcentral describes it as "bacterial SSU rRNA". It matches the Rfam family "Bacterial small subunit ribosomal RNA", at positions 29 to 479 of the family's 1533-position model. The record is from RNAcentral.
AGCGAACGCUGGCGGCAUGCCUAACACAUGCAAGUCGAACGAGACCUUCGGGUCUAGUGGCGCACGGGUGCGUAACGCGUGGGAAUCUGCCCUUGGGUUCGGAAUAACUCACCGAAAGGUGUGCUAAUACCGGAUGAUGUCGAAAGACCAAAGAUUUAUCGCCCAGGGAUGAGCCCGCGUAGGAUUAGCUAGUUGGUGAGGUAAAGGCUCACCAAGGCGACGAUCCUUAGCUGGUCUGAGAGGAUGAUCAGCCACACUGGGACUGAGACACGGCCCAGACUCCUACGGGAGGCAGCAGUGGGGAAUAUUGGACAAUGGGCGAAAGCCUGAUCCAGCAAUGCCGCGUGAGUGAUGAAGGCCUUAGGGUUGUAAAGCUCUUUUACCCGGGAUGAUAAUGACAGUACC